Dromaius novaehollandiae (emu) is the source of this 1911-nucleotide long non-coding RNA. RefSeq lists it as uncharacterized. The record is from RefSeq and is a predicted model, not a curated record. The transcript is spliced from 6 exons. Lineage: Eukaryota; Metazoa; Chordata; Aves; Casuariiformes; Dromaiidae.
GUUUUUUUGGGGGGGGAGGGAAGAAGAAAUGUGAAGCUGACAAGUCAAUAUUAACAAUUCUUACGGCAAUCGAUCCUUAGGAAUUGCUACAAGCCCUAUUACUGAAUACACUGAGAAACAGGGUGUACCCAUAAGCAGAAAAUUCCACUGAGUCCUGUAGAUUCAGUAAAGCAGAUGCUUUUUAAGAGUCUUUAGUUAAAAAAAAAAACCCUCCUUUGUUUUGCCUUGCUGUAGCUUACAUCCUCGCUAUUUUGCUGGACUAAAGCACGGCUGAAGUGAAGCCUCCCAGCGCGUCCCCGGGGGUGAGGGAAAGCCCCUACGGCGAGGAGGCCGCGGCUGCGUGAGCAUGUGGAGACACCUGCUGGCAGGAUAAGUAGGGCUGGCUGCACGGCCCUGUGCAACACAGCACCGGAGCAUGCAGGUGUAUUUGCAAGCCAAGCUGCCAUUCUGCAUUACUGAAACUGCGCAGCAUGCACAGGACAACGUGAGCACAAGGGCAGAGCUGCAUGGAGCUGCCUGUGGGAGGGUAACAGCCUGCAUUAAACACUGCAUGUCAAGAUGCAAAGACAAACAGCUGUCAAGAGGGAAGAAAGCUGUAACUGCAGCCAACAGAUGACUCUGGAGCCAACAGCUACUACAGAGGCCCUUGAGAUAGACAGCAGGAACAAGAGCGUUUUCCCUCAUAGGUUCACUGUCAGAUUAUUUCCAUGAUGUUUCCAGAAGUGAAUGAAGCAUUUCAGAUGUAGUUUCACUAAAGAGAGAGAGAGAUCUAGCUGCACAUGGACCUAUCAGGAGGAGAGGGACUGACAUCUGGAAUGUUUGAUCGUGAUGCUCCGAUAGAUAACGAUUUAUUUCUCUAGUAUUUUCUGCAACACCAGCCAUAUUUAUGGAAAAAAUUUAUGUAACUUGUUUAAGAGAAAACAGUUCCAAAACGGGGCUUAACAAAGUUCUUCUCCAGGUCUUGGGUAAGACAGUCGUCUUAGCUGAUUCUGCUAGACACAGAGGUUGUUAAGAGUCUGGUUAUCAGCCAGUGCAGGAUGGGAAAUCUAUAGCUUAUAAACAGGAAUUGGCCCACAACUCCUUCUAAAUUACAAGAAAUAUUUUUGUAUUUUUACUGUAUUUUGGGUAUAGUGUUAAUGUGUGACUUUCUACAAGGUAUAUGAAAUAUCUGUUUGAGCCUUGGAAUAGAGAGCUGAUCUCUUUAGCUUGGAUAAAGCCUAGCCAGUCUAGCAUUCUUCUUGGUAGAAAUGACUAAGUCCUGACUGUGGCAGAACUCUCAAAUUUGUGAAUUCCAAAGGCGAAAGCCUACAACCUUGCCAAGUUUUUUUUUUUUUUUUCUUCUUCUGGAAAUUUCACUACAGUGAAAGAGUACAAUAGUACAAUACCGUCUUUGGGAACAACAGUAGAAGUAUGCAUGCAAACUGACCACCUAAAUCUCAUCAAAAAGUUCAAUGUGGAAACUCAAAGGAAAGUGUCCGUGCUCUCCACAGCUUCCUUGACAAAACAAGGAGGAAACAGCUUUAAGAGCUGAUUACAUACCCAAAUUAAAACAUUGCAUAUAUAUUUUUAACUGUACUCUUUUUCCUUGUGUAUAUUUUCAGGGGGAAAAAAACCAAAAAAGAAAUAAAACCAAACUGAAUGAAAAGCACACGUGUUCACAUAACGUCUUUUAUGGAAAUAGUCCUUGAUCCUUGUUACUGGCUGAGCUGUGUUACACAUAGACUGUGGGGUGGAAUAUGUGGGUGUAAAGUUGGAGGUUAACUUUUCAAACCAGCUGAUUCUUGUGGCUUUGGGUGUUGGCUUGCCUUGGGGUAGGACUUGGAGCAGCACUACUAAUCAGUAGAAGUCAGGUCAUGACCAGAGCCAGUAUAGCAUUUUGAAAUAUUUUGGGAAAAAAAAUACUGUAAAUGA